This 498-nucleotide ribosomal RNA is filed under the name Triticum aestivum (bread wheat). RNAcentral's name for it is "partial small subunit ribosomal RNA". Lineage: Eukaryota; Viridiplantae; Streptophyta; Magnoliopsida; Poales; Poaceae. The record is from RNAcentral.
AUGGAGUACCAGCCCAUCAUCUCAGCGCUUGAUGCAAGAACGGAGCCGGUAUCGGUCGACAUCCUCUUCUCCAUGGUGGCAAAUUUCGACCAGCGAGUCGAGAUGUUCCAUGGUACAAACGUCGGAUCCUUCAAAUCAUCGGCGAAUACUGCAUCUCGUGGUCGCCAGGGAAACACCAAAACCUACCAAAACCAGCGGAGUGGUGGAGGUGGUGGUGGAUCCCGUGGUGGUGGCGGCCAGUACGGAGGCGGUGGCGGCGGACAGUACGGUGGUGGCGGUGGCUACCACAACGGCGGCAACAAUCAGGGCAGUGGCGGUGGCUACCACCCAAACAACAGUGGUGGCGGCUAUCCUGGUGGGGGUGGCGGCUACUACCAGGGCAACCCUCGUGGUGGAAACAACAGCCCCCCCCCGGCAACAACAAUCGGGGGCGCAAUUUCCAGGGCUACGAAGGAUACGAAGGGAAGUGCCAAAUCUGUAAAAAAAACACAUAGGUAA